GUUGGCUUAAUCAUUCACGCUGGUGACAGGAUGGGUGCAGCAAUGACUCAUCCAGGGAAGAAAGCAGUCUUUCUAUGGCUUUCUCUUAUCACCCAGGAAACCUGUCCCUGAAGGCUCAGAUCUCCUUGGCCAUAAUUGGGUCCCAAGUCAGCUCAGGAAGGAGAUCCCUGGCUGUGGGCUUCUCUUCUGGAACAUGGGACUCCUUCUACUCAUUGCCUUCUUAUUGCCGCUGAGAAUCCUCCCUGACUCCAAGGCUUGGCUGGGGCCACUCUUCCCGACACACCUGCGCCUGUCCUGGAAGUGUUCGUCACAUCUCAUUGGGUAACCUCUUUCCUUCUUGGUUUUCAGGACUAGAGUUAACCUUGAGUUCAGUGACCCAGCUUGGUCUUUGAUGUAUUACCCAGUGACUGGGGCAGCACAGAC
This 423-nucleotide long non-coding RNA is filed under the name Fukomys damarensis (Damara mole-rat). RNAcentral describes it as "lncRNA (ENSFDAG00000025695.1)". Lineage: Eukaryota; Metazoa; Chordata; Mammalia; Rodentia; Bathyergidae. The record is from RNAcentral.